UACGUAGGGACCGAGCGUUGUCCGGAAUCAUUGGGCGUAAAGAGCGUGUAGGCGGCUUGCUAAGUCUUGCGUGAAAUCUCGGGGCUCAACCCCGAGCGGUCGUGGGAAACUGGCAGGCUAGAGUGCGGGAGAGGAGAAUGGAAUUCCUGGUGUAGCGGUGAAAUGCGUAGAUAUCCGGAGGAACACCGGUGGCGAAGGCGGCUUCCUGGACCGACACUGACGCUGAGGCGCGAAAGCUAGGGGAGCAAACGGG
RNAcentral lists this ribosomal RNA (253 nucleotides) under uncultured bacterium. RNAcentral describes it as "partial 16S ribosomal RNA". It matches the Rfam family "Bacterial small subunit ribosomal RNA", at positions 524 to 776 of the family's 1533-position model. The record is from RNAcentral.